CAAAAUUUUCCACUGUCUUGGGCACAACUUUUCCAAAGAGGCCAAUCACAAUUCUGCCAACAUCUUUGUCUCCAAUCCUCACAUCAAAGAAGACCUGUGUGCAGUUGAAAGGCAAAGUGGAAGGUUAUAAGGUGGAAAAGCACAAAUACAAGGUAAGUCAAAAUUAAAAUCUGAGAAUUGACCCACAUACAAAAGCCCUGCCCAUCAGUAUUUUGUAAAGGAGCAUGACAUCAAUUAAAGGUACUUUAAAACUAUUGUGUGGGUGCAUUUCACUCACAAAUAUUCUUUCAAGAAACAUUUAUUAAGCACCACCCAUGGGCCAGGCACUGUACCAGGUAUUGAGUUUAAAGGCUGACUCAACUCUGUCAGUGUUGGCCAAUGAAGUCUUCAAUAAUUCUUCUCUUCCCAUACCCCAGACAAACGCUGCUGCUACUUCCCAUUUCCUGGCUUUAUGGAUGAAGAGUAGAAUGGAAAAUAUUGCUCUCUUAGAAAGUAAUGCUCUCUAAUCUUGGCAGGACAAAAGAAAAAAGUUGUGAGGAAACAGGCUAACCAUCAAAAUUUAUUUUUUUAAAUUUCAAACAGUCCUAAAUUUGCAAUGAGUUCUCAAUAGAUGUCUGCCAUCCAGGAGAUGGCAAAAAUGAUGAAACACAGCAGUCCUUCAAAAGGCCUGCCACUCAUGUCCAAGCACAAUAAAGCACCAGGUCCCCAGCUUUCCAAAGGACAGCAAACAUUAAGCGUGGGUCAUCACGCUGACAAAGCCGUCACCCUGUAAACUCAGACACUGAAUUCAGUCCUCUUGUUCCCAAGUUACCCAAGUAGAAUUUGCUUUUCCUAACCCAACAUUUUACAACAGGAAAAAGAAGACACAUAGCCAGGAGUGAGUGUGAAUCCACCUUUUGCAGGUAAAACCAUAAAAGUUCUCUUGGACUUGUUUUUAACUGUCUCAUCUGAAACAAAAUUAUAUGCAUUUUGCUUCACAAAUCACUGUGUUAAGAUGAUUCUGAAAUAGAACGCUUGAAAAGGCCACAGAGUCAAAGGGCAUUCUAUUAGCGCGUUUAGAUUAUAUGAACCAAUUUACUGUUUGAAUGGGUAAAAAAGACAUUCAAGAGAUGGCUUUAAAAAAUAUAAGAACGGUUGUCAAAGAAAAAAGAUGUCUUACAGUUUAGAAAAAUCAGUAAGUAAAGACUGUCAAGCUUCAGUUCAAGUCAAGAGCUUCUGCCAAUACAUCAGUACAUCUGUCACAGGGUGAUGUGAUAUUUAGUGUUCCAUGUGGCAUUUUACAAUUUUUACAUGGCCAAAGCAGCAAAACUUUUAUUAUUACUUAUAUAGAAGAGCUUUAUAGAAUGCAUGAGAAGGGGCAGUGUAUUAAAGGAGUGCAAUUCAGCAUGGCUUGGGAUAGGAAGGUGCUUCAACACACCCAUGGGCCUGGUCAGUGCAGAGCCGGCUUACAAGAGAAGCAGUUUCUCCAAAGGGAUUUGCAAGCCAAGGUGUAAAUUCAAUAACCAGCAAUAACGAAGCAGCACCCGGAAGCCAGAGAUGAAACCUUAAAGAAACAUCAUACGAGACACUAGAAGAGCCUUCCAGACUUUUAAAAUAAAGAAGAGAAAACAAAGCCUGUGAAUGUUUAGGAAGGGAAUAAGAUCUGGGAGAGCAGCAUGAGCAGAUGAAGAAAAAGUACCUGUCACCCAACAUAACUCUUCAGCAAAAAUCACAUAUUUUUACACACAGCCUAGCACACAUAUUAUUAUAAUUUUUUUCCCCAAAUUGAAAUAUCCUUCAGCUUCAUGAGUGAGCAUAAGAACACACAGCAGGUUUUGCCAACUCUACUGGAAAGGAUAAAAUCCAAUCUCAUUUUGUCAAUAAGUAUUUAUGCAAGGUUAUGUAAAAGGCAAUGUGAGGGCACAAACUGUAUAAGAGAGUCCCUGUCCUAAGGCAGUUUAAAAUAAAGAGAUAGGAUAGGCAAACCCAUAACCACAGUACAGGGCAGUGUGUGACAAAUGCCCCCCAAACACUGUAUGCCCAGGCCUGCAGGAACGGUGAGGCUAAGGAGGAAGGCUUGAAGGGAGGCAGGCCUGGGAGGAGGGGAGCCAUCUCCCCAAACAAGGAUGGGGGUGAGCCUUGCCUGGCAGACUUCUUUCUGGAACCAAUGCACCUAGGCAGGAAAUGUGACCUGUGUGCAGAGAAGCAAAGCUGCCCUUCUGACCACAACUAGGGGUUAGAGUGGGUGGGGGGCCAGGAAAGAAGCUGCCCACCAGUUCCAGAAGGCAGAGGAGAGAUGCUGACGUAAGCAUGAGUUUUGUUAGGCAAAAGAGAGAAGACAAAGAAUAAGGUCAAGCGAGGCUCUGGGAAUGUUACUCAAACGGAGAGAAAGAGAAUCUGGGGCUCUUAUACCAGUUGAAGAAUAAGGUCAUAAUGGCCUGCACUGGGGUGGUGGCAGAAGGAAAUGUACGAGGGAGACAGAAAAGGCAUUUAUUUAUUUACUUAUUUACUGAGACAGAAUCUCAUUCUGUCGUCUAGGCUGGAGUGCAGUGGCACAAUCUUGGCUCACUGCAACCCCUGCCUCCCAGGUUCAAGUGACUCUUGUGCCUCAGCCUCCAGAGUAGCUGGGAUUACAGGUGUGUACCACCACACCUGGCUAAUUUUUGUAUUUUUACUAGAGACGGGGUUUCGCCAUAUUGGCCAGGCUGGUCUCGAACUCCUGACCGUAAGUGAUCCGCCCAUCUUGGCCUCCCAAAGUGCUGGGAUUACAGGCAUGAGCCACAGCGCCCAGCCAGGAGAGGCGUUUAAACAAAGGGGCAGACACUGGAGGAGGAGCAGGAAGAAAGAGGGAAGGAAGCAAACAUGACUUAGUGGUGGUCUCAGUGUGGGUAACCCACAUCAUCUUAUAUAAUUCAUCCUCACCACACUGGGAAAGGUGGGACAGGAACUAUUAUCACUAAUUUACAAAUGAGAAAAGUGGGAAUUAGGGAGGUUAAGUGAUUUACCAAGGUUUCCCUACUAUGAGUGUGAGAGCCAGAAUUUCAAGGCUGCCUCUAGCUAAACUGGUUUAUUGUUAAUAGGGCUCUCCGGGUCGAGCCAGGGAAACCCUAAGGAGUAGAAACAGUGUUUUUAGUUCCCCAGUGGCCAGCUAAAGGUCAGCAGGAGGAGGCAGUCAAGAAAUGUUAAAAGAUUCAAUGUCAAAUGAUACUCAAGGAGGACCUGGGCACACACAUUCCUAGACAGGAGGUGAGACAGCUGCCAGCAAACACUCUCACUCUAAACCCUCUCACCACUGGAUUCAUCUCUGAUGUUGCUGAGUGCCUCUGGGAACAAAACCCAGUGCUGGGCCAGGGGUGGGGUGGGGCUACAAAGCUCCUACCCUCAAGGAGCUUCAGUCCAACAGAAAACACAUAUAUGAAUGCUAUAAUAUAAUGAGAAGUCAGAUUUUAUAAGACAAGUACAGAUAAGGUGUCAUGGUAAGGGGUGGUGAUUAUCUGUGGAGAUAAGUGUGGGCUUCCUGGGAAAGGUGAUAUUGGAUUCCAUGCUAGACUUUGGGGUGAGCACCUCAGUCACUUGUUUUUUCCCUCAAGGCUGCCCUUGAAAGUCAUUUGAAAAUUACUCGGCAUUGGAGAUGGGAGGAGGUAGAGGAAGAGGGAGGAGGCACUUACACAGCCUGACCCAAACCCCUGUGGAAUUAAUCCUGAUUCCAUUUCCAAAGUAACUAGGGAACACACCCAGUACAUGAGCUGCGAUGUGGAAGAAACUGUUCUCAAAUGCAGCUCCACCACUCAAUGGCCAUGGAAACUUCAGCAAGUUAAUUAAACUCUGAACUCCCUUUCUUCAUCUGUAAAAUAAAUGAUGAUUCCUUUCAGGUCUGCUCUGUCACAGUAGGAUUAAGAAGAUAAACACAAAUAACACUAACAAGUGACUUCUGAAAUCAGGGACUAUGGACUAUGUGCUUUACCUGCUGCUAUGGUUUGGAUAUUUGAUCCUAAUGUUGGAGGUGGGGCCUAAUGCGAGGUGUUUGAGUCAUGGGUGUAGAUCCCUCAUGAAUGGCUUGGUGCCAUCUCAGUAGUGAAUGGGUUCUCACUUUGUUAGUUCCCAUGAGAACUGGUUUUAAAAGGAAGCUGGCACCACCCCCUUCAGCUUCCUCUCUCUCCACGUGAUCUGCACCUGCCUGCUCCCUAUCACCUUCCGCCGCCGUGACUGGAAGCAGCCUGAGGCUGUCACCAGAUGCCCAGUCUUGAAUCUUACAGCUCAUAGCAGAGCCGUGAGCUAAAUAAACCUUUUUUCUUCAUAAAUUGCCCAGCCUCAAGUAUUCUUUUAUAGCAACAUAAAUGGACUAAGACAUCUGCUUUACCACAUCUAAUGUGCAAAGCCCUCCCAGGUAGGGAUGAUUUCUAUCUCCAUUUGACAAAGGAGGAAACUGAGCUGUGGACAUUAGAUAACUUGUCUAAGGCCAUCUAGCCACAGCCUCCUGGCCACUACAUGCUAAUGUGCUUGCAAGCUGUAAUAUGUGUGCAGCUGGAAGGAUGGUGGCAUUAUUUCAUACACUCCCGAUGCCGGAUCCUGCACAGAUCCCAUGGCAUUGGUUCAGAAAUAUAGGUCAGCAAAUGUAAUUCUGUGGAUUUGGAGCCCAAUGAGCCAGAGCCCCCACCUGAGCCUCUAUGGCUGGGGCAGGAAGCUGCCAGGCUGGCCCAGCAGCAGGAUCUGUGGACCAAGUUAGUGCCACUAAUGGGCCAUGUGGGCAGAAUAGCACCUCACACCUCUCUUAUUUAC
Molecule: long non-coding RNA, 4758 nt
Filed under: Homo sapiens (human)
Lineage: Eukaryota; Metazoa; Chordata; Mammalia; Primates; Hominidae
Description: HSALNT0093716
Source: RNAcentral